UCCCCUGUAUCUCAGACAGUAAAGAAUCCGCCUGCAACGCGGGAGACCCAGGUUUGAUCCCUGGGUUGGGAA
This 72-nucleotide transfer RNA is filed under the name Ovis aries (sheep). It matches the Rfam family "tRNA". Rfam says of the family: Transfer RNA (tRNA) molecules are approximately 80 nucleotides in length. Their secondary structure includes four short double-helical elements and three loops (D, anti-codon, and T loops). Lineage: Eukaryota; Metazoa; Chordata; Mammalia; Artiodactyla; Bovidae. The record is from Rfam by way of RNAcentral.